Molecule: ribosomal RNA, 369 nt
Filed under: uncultured organism
Description: bacterial LSU rRNA
Rfam family: Bacterial large subunit ribosomal RNA
Source: RNAcentral
CUUUACUGCAAGCUCGUAUUGGUCACGAGCAUGAAUUGCGUAGGAUAGGUGGGAGGCUUUGAAGUCUGGGUUUCGGCCCGGAUGGAGCCAAUGGUGAAAUACCACCCUGUUCACGUUUGUGGCCUAACCCCGAUUCCCAUCAUCUGGGCGGGGGACCGUGCGUGCCGGGCAGUUUGACUGGGGCGGUCUCCUCCAAAAAGGUAACGGAGGAGUGCAAAGGUCGGCUCAGCGCGGAUGGAAACCGCGUGACGAGUGCAAGAGCAUAAGCCGGCUUUACUGCGAGUCCGACGGGACGAGCAGUCUCGAAAGAGGGCUCUAGUGAUCCUACGAUCCCGUGUGGAAGGGUCGUAGCUCAUCGGAUAAAAGGUA